RNAcentral lists this ribosomal RNA (461 nucleotides) under uncultured bacterium. RNAcentral's name for it is "bacterial SSU rRNA". It matches the Rfam family "Bacterial small subunit ribosomal RNA", at positions 74 to 513 of the family's 1533-position model. The record is from RNAcentral.
GGGACUUCGGUCCCGAGUAGAGUGGCGCACGGGUGAGUAACGCGUAAGUAAUCUACCCCUGUAUUUGGAAUAACCUACCGAAAGGUGAGCUAAUACCGGAUACGUUUGAGAUGAUGCGAAUCAUUUCACAGAAAGGAGGCCUCUGCAUAUGCUUCCGUACAGGGAUGAGCUUGCGUACCAUUAGCUAGUUGGCAGGGUAAUGGCCUACCAAGGCGACGAUGGUUAGCGGGUCUGAGAGGAUGAUCCGCCACACUGGAACUGGAACACGGACCAGACUCCUACGGGAGGCAGCAGUGAGGAAUAUUGCGCAAUGGGGGAAACCCUGACGCAGCGACGCCGCGUGGAUGAUGAAGGCCCUUGGGUCGUAAAAUCCUGUCAGAUGGAAAGAAAUGCUCUAUGGUUAAUACCUGUAGAGUUUGACGGUACCAUCAAAGGAAGCACCGGCUAACUACGUGUCCGUG